RNAcentral lists this ribosomal RNA (497 nucleotides) under uncultured bacterium. RNAcentral's name for it is "partial 16S ribosomal RNA". It matches the Rfam family "Bacterial small subunit ribosomal RNA", at positions 28 to 507 of the family's 1533-position model. The record is from RNAcentral.
GAUGAACGCUGGCGGCGUGCCUAAUACAUGCAAGUCGAGCGAACAGACGAGGAGCUUGCUCCUCUGACGUUAGCGGCGGACGGGUGAGUAACACGUGGAUAACCUACCUAUAAGACUGGGAUAACUUCGGGAAACCGGAGCUAAUACCGGAUAACAUGUUGAACCGCAUGGUUCAACAGUGAAAGACGGUCUUGCUGUCACUUAUAGAUGGAUCCGCGCCGCAUUAGCUAGUUGGUAAGGUAACGGCUUACCAAGGCAACGAUGCGUAGCCGACCUGAGAGGGUGAUCGGCCACACUGGAACGGAGCCACGGUCCAGACUCCUACGGGAGGCAGCAGUAGGGAAUCUUCCGCAAUGGGCGAAAGCCUGACGGAGCAACGCCGCGUGAGUGAAGAAGGUCUUCGGAUCGUAAAACUCUGUUAUUAGGGAAGAACAAAUGUGUAAGUAACUAUGCACGUCUUGACGGUACCUAAUCAGAAAGCCACGGCUAACUACGUG